AUUGAACGCUGGCGGCAUGCCUUACACAUGCAAGUCGAACGGCAGCACGGGUGCUUGCACCUGGUGGCGAGUGGCGAACGGGUGAGUAAUACAUCGGAACAUGUCCUGUAGUGGGGGAUAGCCCGGCGAAAGCCGGAUUAAUACCGCAUACGAUCUACGGAUGAAAGCGGGGGACCUUCGGGCCUCGCGCUAUAGGGUUGGCCGAUGGCCGAUUAGCUAGUUGGUGGGGUAAAGGCCUACCAAGGCGACGAUCAGUAGCUGGUCUGAGAGGACGACCAGCCACACAGGGACUGAGACACGGCCCAGACUCCUACGGGAGGCAGCAGUGGGGAAGUUUGGACAAUGGGCGAAAGCCUGAUCCAGCAAUGCCGCGUGUGUGAAGAAGGCCUUCGGGUUGUAAAGCACUUUUGUCCGGAAAGAAAUCCUUGGCCCUAAUACGGUCGGGGGAUGACGGUACCGGAAGAAUAAGCACCGGCUAACUACGU
Molecule: ribosomal RNA, 485 nt
Filed under: uncultured bacterium
Lineage: Bacteria
Description: partial 16S ribosomal RNA
Rfam family: Bacterial small subunit ribosomal RNA
Source: RNAcentral